RNAcentral lists this ribosomal RNA (301 nucleotides) under uncultured bacterium. RNAcentral's name for it is "partial 16S ribosomal RNA". It matches the Rfam family "Bacterial small subunit ribosomal RNA", at positions 509 to 808 of the family's 1533-position model. The record is from RNAcentral.
CAGUCGCCGCGGUAAUACGAAGGGUGCAAGCGUUAAUCGGAAUUACUGGGCGUAAAGCGUGCGUAGGCGGUUUGUUAAGUCUGUUGUGAAAUCCCCGGGCUCAACCUGGGAAUGGCAAUGGAUACUGGCAAGCUAGAGUGUGUCAGAGGAUGGUGGAAUUCCCGGUGUAGCGGUGAAAUGCGUAGAGAUCGGGAGGAACAUCAGUGGCGAAGGCGGCCAUCUGGGACAACACUGACGCUGAGGCACGAAAGCGUGGGGAGCAAACAGGAUUAGAUACCCGGGUAGUCCCUGUCUCUAUACC